This 832-nucleotide long non-coding RNA is filed under the name Equus caballus (horse). Its description in RNAcentral is "lncRNA (ENSECAG00000057623.1)". Lineage: Eukaryota; Metazoa; Chordata; Mammalia; Perissodactyla; Equidae. The record is from RNAcentral.
UGGACUUUAAGAGUCUCCUGUGUUGGACAGAUCCUGUGUGGCAAUAUCUCGCUUAGCCUGGUCCAAACUCCCACCUCCUGUCCCCGAAUGUGCGUCAGGAACCCAAGACGGGAGCGCGGAGCCCACCUGCUCUGCCCCCAGGCUCUGCUCAAGGUCAGGCCAGCAGCGCCUGCGGAGUUAAAGCUCCACACUCAGCCCCCUGGCCCGGUGUCUCCCUGGCUUGACUGACAGCGACUCUUUCAAUUAUGUGAGAGGAUAUCGCGCAUCUCCAGUGUUCCUAUGUGACCGUGAAAUACAGGUUCCUCACUGUGGGAAAUAGGACUUUCAAAUCUCUUCUUAAAUAACAUCUGAUUGUUGCAAUUUUUGCAUUUGAAAGUCCUUAGAAUUCUGAAAUUCUAACGAAUAUCUGCGGACCUGAAGGAAAACUGAGUUCACUCUAUCCGUGGGGCAAGAUCAUGAUUGAGAAAUGAGGAUCAAUAAAUGACUAAAAAAUCCUGUCUUUCAGUCGACCAUCUGUGCAGGGAGAGAACCACAGUGGGGUGCAGCAAUGUGUGCAGAAAGUCAGAGAGAGAAGGAGCGGUGAGAACACUGAACUCGAGAACAGCGCUGGCCUUUAGACAACAGCAUUCCGUGUCGACAGCACCCACGGGGUCAGUGUGAACCGUGGUAAGCAGAUGGAGACACUGAGGCCCAGAGAAGUGAUCUAGUGGGCAAGAAGACGGACAUCGGAAGCCUAGUCACUACGCUCUACUACCUCUGUUUACUUCUAAAGACAUCAGGAACUCACAGAUACUAGGGUGGACUGAUUGACCCACCAGGAAAAAACCUCCAG